UACGGAGGAUGCAAGCGUUAUCCGGAAUGAUUGGGCGUAAAGCGUCCGCAGGUGGCUGUGUAAGUCUGCUGUCAAAGAGCGAAGCUCAACUUCGUAAAGGCAGUUGAAACUGAGCAUCUAGAGUGCGAUAGGGGCAAGGGGAAUUCCCAGUGUAGCGGUGAAAUGCGUAGAUAUUGGGAAGAACACCGGUGGCGAAAGCGCCUUGCUGGGUCUGCACUGACACUGAGGGACGAAAGCUAGGGGAGCGAAAGGG
This 253-nucleotide ribosomal RNA is filed under the name uncultured bacterium. RNAcentral's name for it is "partial 16S ribosomal RNA". It matches the Rfam family "Bacterial small subunit ribosomal RNA", at positions 524 to 776 of the family's 1533-position model. The record is from RNAcentral.